GAUGAAGAACGUAGCGAAAUGCGAUAAGUAAUGUGAAUUGCAGAAUUCAGUGAAUCAUCGAAUCUUUGAACGCACAUUGCGGCCGCCAGCACUCUGGCGGGCAUGCCUGUUCGAGCGUCAUUUCAACCAUCAAGCCCCCAGGGGCUUGUGCUGGGGCCCUGCGGCUGCCCGCAGGCCCUGAAAACCAGUGGCGGGCUCGCUAGUCACACCGAGCGCAGUAGCACAUCUCGCUCAGGACGUGCGGCGGGCUCCUGCCGUGAAACCCCCCACUGUAACCCCAAAGGUUGACCUCGGAUCAGGUAGGAAUACCCGCUGAACUUAAGCAUAUCAAUAAGCGGAGGA
This 342-nucleotide unclassified non-coding RNA is filed under the name soil metagenome. Its description in RNAcentral is "partial contains 5.8S ribosomal RNA, internal transcribed spacer 2, and large subunit ribosomal RNA". The stretch from base 1 to 120 matches the Rfam family "5.8S ribosomal RNA", at positions 35 to 154 of the family's 154-position model. The record is from RNAcentral.